AAUCCAAACAACUCUAUGAUUCUACCUUUGAUAUACCUGUCUGGGCAAACAGGGAAGUUUGUCACUCUCACCAGUUGUGGGAGCCUACAAUUGGAGCAUCUGUCUCCGUCUGUGACGUGGGAGAACCAGGAGACAUCUCAUCUCCCUUAUGAGUCCCACACUGAUGAGGUGUCCUGACAGCCAGCACAGAGGGCAGGGGGACUGUAUGGACCUCCAGAGCAGUGGCAUUUAAACUGGAACUGAAAUACCAACCAUGACAUCCCAAAACAAGGUAAAGGCUUAGUGGCAUGCUGGAUAAAAGCACAAAAGAGUCAUAUGGAAAUGUGGCUUUACAUCAAGGCCAUUUAAUUACACUUUCCAAAUGAAGAAAAUAUUUCAUCUUUUGGGGAUUUAAUGGGGUUUGUGACAGCUCACCAGGAGGAGGAACUGUGUGAGAUCUUCAAAAGGCACCUUGAACAAGCCUCAAAGCCACAGGAAAUGGUUCUUGGGGGGGACUUGAACUACCCUGACAUCUGUUGGAAAAGCAACACAGUGAAGCACAUACAGUGCAGGAGGUUCCUGGAAAACUCUGAUCACAACUUUCUGUCUCAGGCCGUGGAGGCUCCCACAAGGAAUGCAGUUUCACCUUGGAGGGAGGUUAAAGGAGAGGGCUGUCAAAGGGACCAUUUUCCCUGCCUACCCCUCAGCAGAAGCCAAACCUGAGGCUGAUGCUCAGCAGGUUCCUUCUUUCUGCUCCAAGGAGCUGAACCAAUGGCACCUCCUACCUGCAAACAAAACCGCCCAGGGCAGCCUGAACUUGGGUGGUGAAUCUCUUCCCUCUUGGACAGAUUUACCUUACAAAUAAAAUACUGUAAAAUCCCCAAAAUA
This is a long non-coding RNA of Passer domesticus (house sparrow), 867 nucleotides long. RefSeq lists it as uncharacterized. The record is from RefSeq and is a predicted model, not a curated record. The transcript has 4 exons. NCBI's taxonomy places the organism in Eukaryota, Metazoa, Chordata, Aves, Passeriformes, Passeridae.